CACUGCCCAUCGCUCCUACCGAUUGAAUGGUCCAGUGAAGUGUUUCGAUCAUGGCGAUGGUGGCGGUCCACCGUUGGCGACGUCUCGAGAAGUCCACUGAACCUUAUCAUUUACAGAAAGGAGAAGUCGUAACAAGAAUUCCAUAUGUGAACCUGUGGAAG
This 161-nucleotide non-coding RNA is filed under the name Amborella trichopoda. RNAcentral describes it as "rRNA SSU_rRNA_eukarya". It matches the Rfam family "Eukaryotic small subunit ribosomal RNA", at positions 1667 to 1823 of the family's 1831-position model. The record is from Rfam by way of RNAcentral. Lineage: Eukaryota; Viridiplantae; Streptophyta; Magnoliopsida; Amborellales; Amborellaceae.